This 849-nucleotide long non-coding RNA is filed under the name Musa acuminata (dwarf banana). RNAcentral describes it as "long non-coding RNA (MACU_LNC003680)". The record is from RNAcentral. Lineage: Eukaryota; Viridiplantae; Streptophyta; Magnoliopsida; Zingiberales; Musaceae.
CUUCCACUGCCAAUGCCUAUUCUCUCUGCUCUUUAGGGCUUCUCCCAAAUCCUCCUCCUUCGAUCGUAUACCCAUUCCUCGAACCAUUAUUUUGGAACCAUGGCGAACGACCAUGCCACGAUGGAGGACGACGAGAUCACCCAGGAGGACGCCUUAGCAGCCAUCAGCGCCUACUUCGAGGAGGACGGCCUCGUGCACCACCAGCUCGACUCCUUCGAUGAGUUCAUCAAGAACACAAUGCAAGAGAUCGUGGAUGAGUCCGCCGACAUUGAGAUACACCCUGAGCACCAACACCACCCCGAUCGCCAGCCCGACUCUGAUGAGAUCCCCCUCUCUUUUCCUCGUUGAUUGGAAGUGGUAGCGAUUGAUAUGUACAUCGGUUUCUUGGUCGAUUGACUAGGAACAUCGUGCUCUAUCACUUCUUGUCGUGCAAUCUAUCAACUUGAAUCGAAUGAUCUUUUUUGUCGAAUUUGUUCUAGAAAAGAAGGGUUUCCCUCUUCUGAGUCGUCCUAGUUUGUCUUCGUGCAGACCAUUCUUCACAAGAUAAGCUUCGAUCGGAUAUACUUGAGCAAACCUAUGGUGACCGAAUCAAAUGGAGAAACCAUUCACAAGAUAAGCUUCGAUCGGAUAUACUUGAGCAAACCUAUGGUGACCGAAUCAAAUGGAGAAACUAUAAAAUUAUUCCUCAAAAUACAACAUUGAGGAACUUGAUUUAUUUAGCUUCGUUAUAAGUUGAUGUUACUAAAAUCCUCAUCAAGAAACGACAGGAUUGUGAAAUCGUUGCAAAGACUCAAGACUUACUAAAAGUAUUUAUUGGAAAAGUAAUUGAUUCUUUUGAGCUGUAUAAUU